AACGAACGCUGGCGGCAUGCCUAACACAUGCAAGUCGAACGAGACCUUCGGGUCUAGUGGCGCACGGGUGCGUAACGCGUGGGAAUCUACCCUUGGGUUCGGAAUAACAGUUAGAAAUGACUGCUAAUACCGGAUGAUGACGUAAGUCCAAAGAUUUAUCGCCCAAGGAUGAGCCCGCGUAAGAUUAGCUUGUUGGUGGGGUAAUGGCCUACCAAGGCGACGACCUUUAGCUGGUCUGAGAGGAUGAUCAGCCACACUGGGACUGAGACACGGCCCAGAGUCCUACGGGAGGCAGCAGUGGGGAAUAUUGGACAAUGGGCGAAAGCCUUAUCCAGCAAUGCCGCGUGAGUGAUGAAGGCCUUAGGGUUGUAAAGCUCUUUUACCAGGGAUGAUAAUGACAGUACCUGGAGAAUAAGCUCCGGCUAACUCCGUGCCAGCCGCCGCAGUAA
Molecule: ribosomal RNA, 449 nt
Filed under: uncultured bacterium
Lineage: Bacteria
Description: partial 16S ribosomal RNA
Rfam family: Bacterial small subunit ribosomal RNA
Source: RNAcentral